Molecule: long non-coding RNA, 1180 nt
Organism: Hyaena hyaena (striped hyena)
Lineage: Eukaryota; Metazoa; Chordata; Mammalia; Carnivora; Hyaenidae
Exons: 5
Source: RefSeq, a predicted model, not a curated record
UCCGCGGAGCAAAGGCCAAGGUCGGAACCGUCUCGCCGCAAUUGCCAGUCACUCCGCCACGCGCAACACUACCACUUAGCUUCAUGGACGGUUUUCUCCACUGUGUCUUUGUGGAAGACCGUAGACAGAUGAAUAAGAAGGCUCAACAAGGUAAAGGAACUUGGCCAAAUUCAAGCAACUACCUGAGGCAUAGCUACAGCAGUCAUCACUAGAUUAUCAAGAAGCAGAGUUUAAGCAUCCACUCAGUGCAAGAAAAUAAAAGCCCCUUUUCUGGGUGAUCUCUGAAGAGCUGGGCAAGAGGGGAAAGGGGCCCAGAUCAGGCAGAGUCCUAAUGGGUAACUAACUUCAGUUCAUGUCCGUCAAAACACAACCUGAGAAGGACAAACGUGAAGGGCAAAUAUUAGAUAACAGUAUGAUAUAUGAGUCUGAACUUGAGCUACAGCAACUCAGAGAAAGGAAAGUCUUACCCUGUCAUGGCUGACCAGCAGGAAAAGAAAGACUCCCUUCUGGUAUGUACUCAGGAGAGAGAAGGCCUGAGAUACAGACAUCUCCUGGACUCCUCAAAUUCUCAACCUUCUGACUCUUAUAGGCAACGCAAAGUUGUUUCAUUUCUGCACAUAAACAACAGAGAAUGUUAACUGUUAUGGACACUCCUUCCAGUGUUGCCUGUCAUGGGACUUGCUCACCUACACUGUGUGUUUGCUGUUCUCAUGCUUUAUGAAUAUAUAUCCUAUUAAUUUUCAAAUAAUAGGGGGAAUUUAAUUUUCCCCCUGAAUUUUCAGGGGGAAAUAUUAAAAGUGCUGGAAAAGAUGAAAUCACUGAUGUGGUGAAAAAUGAUGAGUGUUGGGUAGGGGAUGAAACAUGUGAAAUCAGAAGCAAUUCUAAAAAACAAAGAGUUCACAUACAGCACAAGAACACUCAGAAAUGAGUAAGACACAAAAGUGAUUAUUGGAAUUUAAAAAUGUUUGAGCAUCAGUAUCAGAUAUCUGUUAACUCAGUGUUAAUUCAGGGAAAGUCUCGGUGUUUGCAGAGUUCAUUUGGACCUUGCAAUGAAUGGACUUAAUUGUGGCCUUUUAAAACCUAACCCAUUCUUUCAACUGUUCUCCUAUAAGAACAGUUGACUUUGUCAUAUGUCUUUAACCUGGCAAUUCAAAUACGAUUUUUUAUUCUUAGAGAAGAU